Molecule: ribosomal RNA, 524 nt
Filed under: uncultured bacterium
Lineage: Bacteria
Description: partial 16S ribosomal RNA
Rfam family: Bacterial small subunit ribosomal RNA
Source: RNAcentral
AUUGAACGCUGGCGGCAUGCUUUACACAUGCAAGUCGAACGGCAGCGCGGGCUUCGGCCUGGCGGCGAGUGGCGAACGGGUGAGUAAUACAUCGGAACGUGCCCAGUAGUGGGGGAUAGCUCGGCGAAAGCCGGAUUAAUACCGCAUACGACCUGAGGGUGAAAGCGGGGGAUCUUCGGACCUCGCGCUAUUGGAGCGGCCGAUGGCAGAUUAGCUAGUUGGUGGGGUAAAGGCCUACCAAGGCGACGAUCUGUAGCUGGCCUGAGAGGACGACCAGCCACUGGGAGGCAGAGAGCCGAGACAGAGACCUGGGGGAGGCAGAGGGGGGGAGUUGUGGAAGAUGGGCGAAAGGGCGAUCCAUCAGUGCGGGGGGUUUGAUGAAGGCCGUGGGGUGGAAAACGAAUGUGGGCGAGAACGAAAAGGACUGGCACAAUACCAGGGUGCGAUGACGGCACGCGCAAAAUAAGCACGGGCGAACGACGUACCAGCAGCCGCGGUAAGAAUCGAGUAGCACACGUCUGAAC